Molecule: long non-coding RNA, 388 nt
Filed under: Medicago truncatula (barrel medic)
Lineage: Eukaryota; Viridiplantae; Streptophyta; Magnoliopsida; Fabales; Fabaceae
Description: long non-coding RNA (MTRU_LNC000432)
Source: RNAcentral
UUUUGACUCAUUGCCUACGUACCCUUUUAAAGGAUCAAAACCAAUCGUAGUUCGUUCUCAAAAAUUGUUUUUGUUUUUGUUGGUUGAUUUUAAGUUUGAAAAAGGAAUUUUUGAAGAAUAGAGAUGAGAGGCCUCAAGGGCAUGAGAUUUGGAAAAUGUGAGGUGGAAUUAGUCAUUUUGCAAAAUGAAGUCUAAGUAUGAUUAAAAUUCAUUAAGAUUUUUUUUUAAGAAAGUAAAAGGAAAAUGAGGAGUUUUGACUCCUAUUUUUUUGGAAAAAGGGUUUUCAAGUGAGGUUAUUCACAUUUUUUGGGAAAAUGAUUUUUUGUCUAAGCAUUAUAAAACCUAAGCAUACAUCUAAACAUACAUUCCCUAAUCAUGCAUCUAGAAU